Non-coding RNA from Callorhinus ursinus (northern fur seal), 115 nucleotides. NCBI's taxonomy places the organism in Eukaryota, Metazoa, Chordata, Mammalia, Carnivora, Otariidae. The record is from RefSeq and is a predicted model, not a curated record.
UUUUUAACAAUUUGACUUGGGUUAAGGGCGCCUGGGUGCCUUAGUUAGUUAAAUGUCUGAAUCUUGAUUACAGCUCAGGUCAUGAUCUCAGGGUCCCGUGAUUGAGCCCUGUGUU